CACACUGGAUUCUUGUGAUUGUCAACAUUUCUGCACAGAAAAUACUGCUCAUUGACCCCAUGGGGAAUGAAGGUGUUUAUGACAGGAAAAUUCUGCGCAACUGGAGGAAUUUUCUGAGGAUGAGAGGGCAUGAAGACACCAUGGAGUGGCAGUUACACACUAUGCAACACAACAAGCAACAGGAUUCCAGCAGUUGCGGAGUUUUGCUGUUAAAGUUUGCAGAACACUACCUUGCUUUUGGAGAGGUCAGUGAGGUGUUAACCACUACAGAAGCAGUUGUGCUGGAGCGAAUGCAGAUAGCUUGCACCCUACUUGAACAUCGAGGUAAGUCCAGUAAAGUCCUUAUCACGUUAGAGUGUGUAC
This is a long non-coding RNA of Oreochromis aureus, 363 nucleotides long. RefSeq lists it as uncharacterized. Lineage: Eukaryota; Metazoa; Chordata; Actinopteri; Cichliformes; Cichlidae. The transcript is spliced from 4 exons. The record is from RefSeq and is a predicted model, not a curated record.